UUUUCUUAAUUUUCAUUUAUAUAUGACGUCACAUCACAUCAUCCAUCGACAUUCGUAAAAACCAAACACAUAAAGAAAAAUGAAAAAAGUAAACAUAAAAUUUCAAUUAGAAUCUCCCUCUCUGGGGCGGGGCUUCAGUUCAAGAAGUAGGCAACGAAGGAAACAAGUGAGGCACCGACGAGGGAUCCGAGGGAGGGGAGAGCGGCGGAGGCGGCGCUGCUCGGCCCCGGCGCAGCGGCAGGAGAGAGAGACUCAUCGGCAGCAACGGCGGCGCUGAGGGUGGCGGCGGCGAAGAGGGCGGCGCAAGCGAAGUUCUUCAUUUCCAUGGCGGAUGAGAUUGAAUUGGCUUUCUUCGGCAGAAA
RNAcentral lists this unclassified non-coding RNA (362 nucleotides) under Hevea brasiliensis (rubber tree). The record is from RNAcentral. Lineage: Eukaryota; Viridiplantae; Streptophyta; Magnoliopsida; Malpighiales; Euphorbiaceae.